Long non-coding RNA from Girardinichthys multiradiatus, 588 nucleotides. RefSeq lists it as uncharacterized. The transcript has 4 exons. NCBI's taxonomy places the organism in Eukaryota, Metazoa, Chordata, Actinopteri, Cyprinodontiformes, Goodeidae. The record is from RefSeq and is a predicted model, not a curated record.
UGAGACAUUGCUGAUUGGUCGACCGCGCUGUUGGACGGACCACAGUUCUUGUUCCGCCCAUAUCGAGGAUGCAAUUGAUGCAUCCUUCUGCAGACUUGGGUAAGCUAGGUUUCCCAUAAUGCACUCACCAGCGGCGGUCAAUGGAGAAGACUGGCCGAAAACUUUCACCCUUCCAGAUGCUCCUCCUGACUCUAAUGCACCUGAGGCUGCAUCUUCCCUUCCCUAUGGCACACCUGUUCUGCAUCGACCGAUCAACUGUGUCCACCAUGUUCACAAAUAGACCAUAGAUGUCAUGUUUACACACCUUGCUGCGGGGUAACAUACCACUGAGCAUGGUGCUGCCAUGUGAAGGUGAGGAGGUGGUUUUACUGGACAAAAUUGUGACAGUGUGCUGUGAUCUGACCAAUAUGUCUCCCAGUAUUGUUUUGAAAGUGUAAACCCUAACAACUUUGUGAAACUUGUGUUAAGCAGAAAGCAGUGUACCUUGGUUUCCUUGUGUGAAUAAAUGAUGGACAAUUUAAAAGCUAUAUCUUUCCUGGAGUUUCAAGAAAUGGGACUGUUCUAAUUGGGAAUUUGCUCUGGAUCCAU